RNAcentral lists this ribosomal RNA (322 nucleotides) under uncultured eukaryote. RNAcentral's name for it is "partial 18S ribosomal RNA". It matches the Rfam family "Eukaryotic small subunit ribosomal RNA", at positions 1470 to 1796 of the family's 1831-position model. The record is from RNAcentral.
CCCUUAGAUGUUCUGGGCAGCACGCGCGCUACAAUGGUCUUCGCAAACGGAUGCAUUCUCGAAGGAGAAUGCCAAUCUUGGAAUCUAUGCCUUGGUCGGGACAGUUGCUUGCAAUUUUUCGACUCGAACCAGGAAUUCCUUGUAAUCGUGAUUCAUCACAUCACGAUGAAUACGUCCCUGCCCUUUGUACACACCGCCCGUCGCUCCUACCGAUUGAGUGGUCCGGUGAGGCUUUGGGAUCUGAGCGGAAAGAGCGUUUCGCUGUUUCUGCUCGGAAAACUCAGUCGAACCUUAUCAUUUAGAGGAAGGAGAAGUCGUAACA